This 1385-nucleotide ribosomal RNA is filed under the name Caenorhabditis elegans. Its description in RNAcentral is "SSU rRNA". It matches the Rfam family "Eukaryotic small subunit ribosomal RNA", at positions 3 to 1464 of the family's 1831-position model. Lineage: Eukaryota; Metazoa; Nematoda; Chromadorea; Rhabditida; Rhabditidae. The record is from RNAcentral. RNAcentral also lists the same sequence under 1 other name.
CCUGAUUGAUUCUGUCAGCGCGAUAUGCUCAAGUAAAAGAUUAAGCCAUGCAUGCUUUGAUUCAUCAAUGAAAUUGCGUACGGCUCAUUAGAGCAGAUAUCACCUUGUUCGGAAUAUUAUAUGGAUAACUGCGGAAAUACUGGAGCUAAUACAUGUCAUACAUCCCCAACGUAAGGCGGGGUGCAAUUAUUAGAACAGACCAAACGUUUUCGGACGUUGUUUGUUGACUCUGAAUAAAGCAGUUUACUGUCAGUUUCGACUGACUCUAUCCGAAAAGGGUGUCUGCCCUUUCAACUAGAUGGUAGUUUAUUGGACUACCAUGGUUGUUACGGGUAACGGAGAAUAAGGGUUCGACUCCGGAGAGGGAGCCUUAGAAACGGCUACCACGUCCAAGGAAGGCAGCAGGCGCGAAACUUAUCCACUGUUGAGUAUGAGAUAGUGACUAAAAAUAUAAAGACUCAUCCUUUUGGAUGAGUUAUUUCAAUGAGUUGAAUACAAAUGAUUCUUCGAGUAGCAAGGAGAGGGCAAGUCUGGUGCCAGCAGCCGCGGUAAUUCCAGCUCUCCUAGUGUAUCUCGUUAUUGCUGCGGUUAAAAAGCUCGUAGUUGGAUCUAGGUUACGUGCUGCAGUUCGCAAUUUGCGUCAACUGUAGUCGUGACUUCUAAUUUGCUGGUUUGAGGUUGGGUUCGCCCUUCAACUGCCAGCAGGUUUACCUUGAAUAAAUCAGAGUGCUCAAAACAAGUGUUUGCUUGAAUAGCUCAUCAUGGAAUAAUGAAACAGGACUUCGGUUCUUUUUGUUGGUUCUAGAACUGAUUUAAUGGUUAAGAGGGACAAACCGGGGGCAUUCGUAUCAUUACGCGAGAGGUGAAAUUCGUGGACCGUAGUGAGACGCCCAACAGCGAAAGCAUUUGCCAAGAAUGUCUUCAUUAAUCAAGAACGAAAGUCAGAGGUUCGAAGGCGAUUAGAUACCGCCCUAGUUCUGACCGUAAACGAUGCCAUCUCGCGAUUCGGAGGGUUUUUGCCCUGCCGAGGAGCUAUCCGGAAACGAAAGUCUUUCGGUUCCGGGGGUAGUAUGGUUGCAAAGCUGAAACUUAAAGAAAUUGACGGAAGGGCACCACAAGGCGUGGAGCUUGCGGCUUAAUUUGACUCAACACGGGAAAACUCACCCGGUCCGGACACCAUUAGGACUGACAGAUUGAAAGCUCUUUCUCGAUUUGGUGGUUGGUGGUGCAUGGCCGUUCUUAGUUGGUGGAGUGAUUUGUCUGGUUUAUUCCGAUAACGAGCGAGACUCUAGCCUGCUAAAUAGUUGGCGAAUCUUCGGGUUCGUAUAACUUCUUAGAGGGAUAAGCGGUGUUUAGCCGCACGAGAUUGAGCGAUAACAGGUCUG